AGAGUUUGAUCCUGGCUCAGAUUGAACGCUGGCGGCAUGCCUAACACAUGCAAGUCGAACGGAAACGAUGGGAGCUUGCUCCCAGGCGUCGAGUGGCGGACGGGUGAGUAAUACUUAGGAAUCUGCCCAGUAGUGGGGGACAACUCGAGGAAACUCGAGCUAAUACCGCAUACGCCCUACGGGGGAAAGCGGAGGAUCUUUCGGGACUUCGCGCUAUUGGAUGAGCCUAAGUCGGAUUAGCUUGUUGGUGAGGUAAAGGCUCACCAAGGCAACGAUCCGUAGCUGGUCUGAGAGGACGAUCAGCCACACUGGGACUGAGACACGGCCCAGACUCCUACGGGAGGCAGCAGUGGGGAAUAUUGGACAAUGGGGGAAACCCUGAUCCAGCAAUGCCGCGUGUGUGAAGAAGGCCUGCGGGUUGUAAAGCACUUUCAGUAGAGAAGAAAAGCCUAGGGUUAAUACCCCUGGGUCUUGACGUUACCUACAGAAGAAGCUCCGGCUAACUCCGUGCCAGCAGCCGCGGUAAUACGGAGGGAGCGAGCGUUAAUCGGAAUUACUGGGCGUAAAGCGCGCGUAGGCGGCUUUGUAAGUCGGAUGUGAAAGCCCUGGGCUCAACCUGGGAAUGGCAUUCGAUACUGCAAAACUAGAGUAUGGUAGAGGGAAGUGGAAUUUUCGGUGUAGCGGUGAAAUGCGUAGAUA
This 699-nucleotide ribosomal RNA is filed under the name uncultured bacterium. Its description in RNAcentral is "bacterial SSU rRNA". It matches the Rfam family "Bacterial small subunit ribosomal RNA", at positions 8 to 696 of the family's 1533-position model. The record is from RNAcentral.